ACUUGCUAGUAAUUGAUUUUUGGUUGGUUAGAUUAACUUCUUAAUUGAUUUGUUAGUUGUUAAUGAAUUACCAACUGUAUAUCUGAGAGAUAUAGUAUUAGUUUCUAUGUUUUAAGAUGGUGAUGUUGGAGAAUUAUUAUGCUUGUAAUUGUAAAAGAAAGAAAGAACAGUGGAACAUCUUUACAGGAUUGUAUGCUAAGGAAAAACUUCAUUCUCUUCGAGUUUUAGCUAUAGACACCUAAUGAGAACUAAGACUACUAUAAAAUUGUGUCGUAGGUUUGCAAAAACUUUUGAAUUUUGUGGUCUUAAACUAAAGACUACUGAAUGUACAAUAACAAUUGUAGAAUCAUUGUGUUUGUUGUUAGCUUAUUUUGUUGUUUGAUUGCAGUCUUCCUUUUCUUACAUGAUCACAUUGUUGAAUAUAGAAAUAAACUCAAUGGUUUCUUGGGUAUACUGCCCGUUACUACAUUAGUUUCAAUAAUCAGAUGGCAAGUCCAUGUUUGCAUCUUUAAAUUCAUAAGGUGGCUUUCAUUGGGUGAAUUGAUUUUGUAUAUUGGUGUUAUCUCUAGAUUAUUUGUUUAUAUAAUCUCUUAACUCUACUCUUUAAUAGCUGCAAUAUUUUUGGUGAUGAUAAUACCCAACUAUUGAAUCACUUCAAUGAAUAGUGGUGGGACUGGAAGACACGGCGGUAACUGUCAUCUGGAGGAACUUCCUAACAUAGGAUCAUCCCAAGAGUUACUGAAGACAUCAUUUGAAUAUAACACUGUGAACAAUGUGCUGUUGGUGAAACAAAACAAAUCAGAAGCAUGGAAUUUGAAUUUGUUGAAAGUAACAGGGAUGACAGUCCAGAGAAGAGACGGUCACUCGUCUUUGUAUUACUUAUGCCCAAGGUUGGAUCAGCUCCUCUCCACCACCAAGACUGCAACCACUGGUGUCCCUGAUUGAUGGAACGUGCUUCUAUGUGCCACCUUCCUCAAACGGGAGUUAGCUCAUGCAAAUUUUUCAAAACAAACUUCUUGAUCGUCCGUAUUCAUGUCUUGCAGCAUGAGAAGUGAACAAGCAUUAUCUAGUAGAUUUCACUAGUAAGAAUUCAUUUUCAUGGAGAGAUAGUAUCUGACAAAUAGUAGUUUAAAGAAAUUUCAUCAUCUUUAAAAUGUGUUUCUAUUUCUGCUCAACGUUUUAUUUGGUUAACGUUAUGUCUUAAUUGUUUUGGUAGGUUGAAGUUUUUGAUUCUCAUUGAAAGAUGUAUGACACAUGAAAUACAAGUUGUUCAGUGACUACGUCUGUAGAGUACUGCUGAUUUUGGAGCUCGAGUUGCUGAUUUUGGAGACGGUUGAUGUCAGUGCCAAGGAAAACAAGUCUAUGCCUGUCAUUGCAGGGUCUUGUAGUUACAUUGCUCUAGUCUACACACACUAAAGGGAAUGACAAGAUGCCUGUGAGGUUGGUGAUGAAGGUGGAUUCAGUCUAAAUGUCCACAGUAACAGGGAAGGGCUUAGUUACAUUGGCAAGAUUGAAAUUGGCAUGAAUGUAGAAACAUCUGAGUUCUUGAUCUCAGUUUCAAGAUUGAAAUUGGCAUGGUGAUGCCAAGAUAAGCAACAGAUAGCGGCAAUUGAUAAGUAGAGAGUUACGAUCUCUUGUUUGUUGCCUUUUAGGUAAUUAUUUUCCUUGUUUAUUUGUUGUAUUACUUUAUGUGAGUUGUGACAAGAAUUUUAUGAAUUCGAUACUAUUGUGGAUUGUGACAUACACCGAAUUUGAUACUGCUGUGUAUUUUGUGCUUGGUGGACUGCA
Molecule: long non-coding RNA, 1788 nt
Organism: Solanum stenotomum
Lineage: Eukaryota; Viridiplantae; Streptophyta; Magnoliopsida; Solanales; Solanaceae
Exons: 3
Source: RefSeq, a predicted model, not a curated record